Molecule: non-coding RNA, 128 nt
Organism: Podarcis lilfordi (Lilford's wall lizard)
Lineage: Eukaryota; Metazoa; Chordata; Lepidosauria; Squamata; Lacertidae
Source: the annotation of a GenBank genome assembly
CUUCCAGUAGCACCUUAGAGACCAACUAAGUUGUUAUUGGUACGAGCUUUCAUGUGAAAGAAGUAUGAGUGCACAUGAAAGCUCAUACCAAUAACAAACUUAGUUGGUCUCUAAGGUGCUACUGGAAG